AUUAAAUAGGAGUCAUGUCGCAUAUCCACCAAGAGGAGUUGUUCCUUGAACAUUUUAUAGCAACAACACCAGUUAAAGAGAUGAUUAGACAAAAAGAAAAAAACAUUGGCACAGCAGUUCGAUAAUUCCUAGAACGCAUGUAUUCUCUUGUAACAACAUUUUCUUGAAGGGAAAAAAGCUGUUAAAGUAUUAUUUUCUACAAGAACUAUUUCCUUGCGUGGCCGAAAAAUCUGGCAGCAGAUUUCAUUCGUUAGUUUACCAGUUUGGCUGGUUUUACAGUCAAUUGAACUUCCCAGAAGAUGGCUGAAAGCAUACGCUUAUAGGCGGAUAAAGAAUUGAUAUCCACAAAUAGAAGUUAAAUGCUUUGGAACAAUCAAGGCGUCGCUGGACCAAGCCUAAGCAGCUGCAGCCAUUGGAAGUGAUCUAUUUACUUGAUCGGUAACAAACCCUCUUGACUGCACGAACGAUGUCCUCUACCUGUGGAACAGCCAGUCUUUCAAGAUUAGCAGCGUAUGGCAUAGGAACAUCAGCACCUGAUAUCCUCUCAACUGGUGCAUCA
This 559-nucleotide unclassified non-coding RNA is filed under the name Hevea brasiliensis (rubber tree). Lineage: Eukaryota; Viridiplantae; Streptophyta; Magnoliopsida; Malpighiales; Euphorbiaceae. The record is from RNAcentral.